Molecule: long non-coding RNA, 250 nt
Filed under: Capsella rubella
Lineage: Eukaryota; Viridiplantae; Streptophyta; Magnoliopsida; Brassicales; Brassicaceae
Description: long non-coding RNA (CRUB_LNC000946)
Source: RNAcentral
AGCAACUACGUCUGGGGAGGAAACUGAGUCCUCAACAUCCACUAUAGAUCAAGAGUUACAUAUGUGUUUUGAUUACAACAUACCUCUCACACUCAUCUAAUACCCUAGAUUGAGUCUUCACAAGAAACAUAUGAAAGAAAGAAGAAUACUGACAAGAGAUCAAGCCUAGAUACACUAAGAAACUACAUCUCUCUCUAGCGCUUAUUCACGUCUUGGGUACCGCCUGAAAUAGGGUUUGGCUCAGCUCUGC